Molecule: long non-coding RNA, 1430 nt
Filed under: Homo sapiens (human)
Lineage: Eukaryota; Metazoa; Chordata; Mammalia; Primates; Hominidae
Description: HSALNT0347172
Source: RNAcentral
ACUUCCCGUCCCCUGGCGGGCGCCGGCGCUUCAGGCGGGUCUCCCCGCCGGCCGGUGCGCUGCUGCCGCGGAGUCUUCCUUGCCCGGCUGCACGGAGCGCUCGGCCGCUGCGCCCGGGCGCGGACUGGAGGGGCUGCUGCCACGUCUCCCGCGCGGCACCUUCCCGGAGCCGGGUGCGCCGCCCCGGGGCAGGAAGCGGGGCUCCGGGAGGGCUGCGACCCUCCUGGCUGCCGCGAAGGGUUUCCGACGCUGCGCGGCCGGCGGCGGCCGGGGGUGACUGGCAGUCUCUGCAGUAAUUAUCCUUCAACUUGAAAUUAUUUUCCCACAUGAAAUUAUUCGGAAGGGACAUGUUCCAUUCCAGAUGGGUUCGUGCCUGCUUCUCCACAUCGCUUUUCCCACCUCUUCGUGGAUAGGACACCGGAUCCACUACUUAAUCAAAAAGUUUAACUAGAUGGCAUUGAUUUUGUCGAAUUUGUUACCAUACCAAAAAAGAGAGAGAAGGCAGAGAGCUCAAUGAUUAUGAAACAAAGAAAUAGGAUGUAUGCCCAUUAUUAAACGUGUCGGGACUAGAAUGUUUUACUCAUUCUUUGGCCAAAAUGGCACUUGUAUCUGAUUGCAUAGUCUUAAAAAUCCGAGCCUCUUAUUCCAUUUCUCUUCCCGGUACAAAAUGAAUGUUAAACCUGAAGAAAAAAAACUUUUUUUUACUAAUUUUUAUUUUAGGAAAUAGAUCUACAAACAUGGAUUAAGCCUCUUCUAUCUGCAAAAUACGGAGCAAUUAUAAUGUGUUUAAACCAUCAAUUGUAAACUUUAAGAUAAUUUUAUUAGGUUAAAGAUUGCACUUAUUUUAAAAUCAGGAAAGGAACUCAUAUCAACCAAAGAUUGCCCUAUGGCAGGUACAGACUGACUGGUUAUUACUGGACUCCAAAAUAAACUGAGAAAAUAGCAAAACUAUGUAAAAUGUACUAAUCUCACUCACUGAUGGUUACACUACCUGUAGUGCUAAGCCUGUAAUCACAAUAUUGUUAUUUGGACAAAAGAUUAAUCAAAACUAUCUCAUUAAGUAACUACUGCAACUAUUCAAUAAGUUUGAUUAUCCUAGACUUAAUCACUAAGACAUUGAUUUUCUGAUUUUAGUAAUAAUUCUAUAAAUAUAUCACAUUAUAUUGUGGUUUGUUAAAUGCACUGCUUUUAGCUUGCUUUCAUCAUGUAUUUGAGUUUUGUUCUAAAAGAAAUAAAUGUUUUAAUGUUUAAGGAGCUUACAGAUCAUCAAAAAGAACAUAGAAGACAGUACAGAAAGAAUUCUGGCAUUUAAAAAGUUGAAACCACUAAAAUCAACUUCCAUCUGUUUUAAACCCGGUAUCACAAACCAAGAAUCACAACUCUGAGUGUGCCACAGCUCGAUAUCAGAUGUGCAUCUAUUUCAAGGCAAU